Molecule: transfer-messenger RNA, 357 nt
Filed under: Kofleriaceae
Lineage: Bacteria; Pseudomonadati; Myxococcota; Haliangiales
Also listed under: 1 other name
Description: JABFXX01 sp018058095 Standard tmRNA
Rfam family: transfer-messenger RNA
About the family: Bacterial tmRNA, also known as 10Sa RNA or SsrA, is named for its dual tRNA and mRNA-like properties.
Source: RNAcentral
GGGGGCGUAAAGGUUUCGACGGGGAUGACCAACGUCGAGCUGCGCGUCGUGGCGCCCAGGGCCACGUAAAAAUGGGCAAAACCGCAACUGCGAACGAUAACGCUGUUGCUCUCGCUGCCUGAUUAAAAACCAGGUAACGACAGCGCCCUGAGCUUCCGCCUGGAGCCCAGGAGCGCUGAAACAAUCAGGCUGGAUCACCCGAACCGUCGGCGCAGGGUGAUCGAGACUUAGUCGACUCGUUGCUCACGUAGCCUGCCGAUGGGCGCCGUGAGCGAGACCUCAAAUCAACGGAUACACGCGUAGUAGCUCGACCGGAAGCAUUCUCGGACGCGGGUUCGAUUCCCGCCGCCUCCACUU